AGAGCACAGAGAGAAUGCCUUGGCAUUGGGAGCCGAAGAAGGACGUGACAAGCUGCGAAAAGCUGCGGGGAGCUGCAAAUAAGCAAAGAUCCGCAGAUAUCCGAAUGGGGAAACCCUUACGGCGAAGAGCCGUAAAGCUUAUUGUGAAUAAAUAGGAAUAAGCGGGGAACCCGCCGAACUGAAACAUCUAAGUAGGCGGAGGAAAAGACAUCAAACGAGAUUCCGCGAGUAGUGGCGAGCGAAAGCGGAGGAGGCCAAACCUAAAGUAGAAAUACUAUAGGGGUAAGGACUGCGAGAAGCAAGAGAUGAGCUAACAGAAUCACGUGGGAAAGUGAACCGAAGAAUGUGAGAGUCAUGUAAGUGAAAGCGAGUCGAAGCGAGCAGGAUCCGGAGUAGAUGCGGACACGAGGAAUCCGCAUUGAAGAAGGGGGGACCACCCUCCAAGCCUAAAUACUACCCAAUGACCGAUAGAGAAGAAGUACUGUGAAGGAAAGGUGAAAAGGACCCCAGGCGGGGAGUGAAAGAGAACCUGAAACUCUGUGUUUACAAGCACACAAAGCACGUCAAGGUGCGAUGUGGUACUUUUUGUAGAACGGUCCGGCGAGUUAUUGUAUGCAGCGAGGUUAAGUAUUAAAGAUACGGAGCCGAAGGGAAACCGAGGAUGAAAAGUCCGGCGAAGUUGCAUGUAAUAGACCCGAAACCGGGUGACCUAUCCAUGUCCAGGCUGAAGUUGAGGUAAAACUCAAUGGAGGGCCGAACCGACCCCCGUUGAAAAGUUGGCGGAUGAGGUGUGGAUAGCGGAGAAAUUCCAAUCGAACCCGGAUAUAGCUGGUUCUCCCCGAAAUAGCUUUAGGGCUAGCCUCGUAUAUAUUUACCGGAGGUAAAGCACUGAAUAGGCGAGGGGCCGAGAGGUUACCAACCCUUAUCAAACUAAGAAUGCCGGAUAAAUGAGUACGGGAGUCAGACUACGUGAGAUAAGUCUCGUGGUCAAAAGGGAAAGAGCCCAGAUCUACAGCUAAGGUCCCAAAUAUACACUAAGUGGAGAAGGAUGUGGCAAUGCGAAGACAACCAGGAUGUUGGCUUAGAAGCAGCCACUCAUUAAAAGAGUGCGUAAUAGCUCACUGGUCAAGUGAUGCUGCGCCGAAGAUAUAACGGGGCUAAGUGUAUAACCGAAGCUUAGGCAGGAAAAACAACUGGGUAGGGGAGCGUUCCAUAUAGGGAGAAGCAUAAGCGGAAGCGUGUGUGGACAGUAUGGAAGUGAGAAUGCCGGAAUGAGUAGCGAGAAUUGCGUGAGAAUCGUAAUGGCCGAAAAUCUAAGGGUUCCAGGGGUAGGUUCGUCCGCCCUGGGUAAGCCGGGAGCUAAGGCGAGGCCGAGAGGCGUAGUCGAUGCACAUACGGUAGAGAUUCCGUAGCCGCCGAAGAUUUAAGUAUGCUGACACAUGAGAAGAGAUUAAGCCGGGCGAUGGUAGACCCGGUCGAAAGGGACUGAAAACAAGUAGGGAAGUAAUCAAAUCUUGUGGCGAGAAAAGGCAUAAGGGAUAUCGAAGGCGCCCGUACCGCAAACCGACACAGGUAGAUGAGGAGAGAAUCCUAAGGCCAACGGGAGAAGGGUUGUUAAGGAACUCGGCAAAUUGACCCCGUAACUUCGGAAGAAGGGGAGCCCCCUACGGGGGGUCGCAGAGAAAUGGCCCAAGCAACUGUUUACCAAAAACACAGGUCUAUGCUAAAUCGAAAGAUGACGUAUAUGGGCUGACGCCUGCCCGGUGCCGGAAGGUUAAGAGGAGAGCUUAGCGCAAGCGAAGGUUUGAAUUGAAGCCCCGGUAAACGGCGGCCGUAACUAUAACGGUCCUAAGGUAGCGAAAUUCCUUGUCAGGUAAGUUCUGACCCGCACGAAUGGCGUAACGAUCUGGGCACUGUCUCAACAGCCCGCCCGGCGAAAUUGUAGUACCGGUGAAGAUGCCGGUUACCCGCGACUAGACGGAAAGACCCCAUGGAGCUUUACUGUAGCCUGAUAUUGAGAUUCGUUUCAUUAUGUACAGGAUAGGUGGGAGACAGAGAAGGAUGUGCGUCAGCAUGUCUGGAGUCGACGUUGGGAUACCACUCUUGAUGAAACGGAUUUCUAACCUGCGUCCGUAAGCCGGGCGGGGGACACUGUCAGGUGGGCAGUUUGACUGGGGCGGUCGCCUCCAAAAGAGUAACGGAGGCGUUCAAAGCUUGGCUCAGCGCGGACGGAAAUCGCGCAAAGAGUAUAAACGCAGAAGCCAGGUUAACUGUGAGACCAACAAGUCGAGCAGAUACGAAAGUAGGAGUUAGUGAUCAGGUGGUAGUGAGUGGAAAUGCCAUCGCUUAACGGAUAAAAGCUACCCUGGGGAUAACAGGCUGAUCUCCCCCAAGAGUUCACAUCGACGGGGAGGUUUGGCACCUCGAUGUCGGCUCAUCACAUCCUGGGGCUGGAGAAGGUCCCAAGGGUUCGGCUGUCCGCCGAUUAAAGUGGUACGCGAGCUGGGUUCAGAACGUCGUGAGACAGUUCGGUCCCUAUCUGUCGUGGGCGAAGGAGAUUUGAGAGGAGCUGACCUUAGUACGAGAGGACCGGGUCGGACAUACCGCCGGUGCAUCAGUUGUACUGCCAAGUGCAUAGCUGAGUAGCCGCGUAUGGGAGUGAUAAACGCUGAAAGCAUCUAAGCGUGAAACAUGCCUCAAGAUAAGAUCUCCCGCAACGAAAGUUGG
Molecule: ribosomal RNA, 2727 nt
Filed under: human metagenome
Description: bacterial LSU rRNA
Rfam family: Bacterial large subunit ribosomal RNA
Source: RNAcentral